Molecule: ribosomal RNA, 484 nt
Filed under: uncultured bacterium
Lineage: Bacteria
Description: partial 16S ribosomal RNA
Rfam family: Bacterial small subunit ribosomal RNA
Source: RNAcentral
AUUGAACGCUGGCGGCAGGCCUAACACAUGCAAGUCGAGCGGAUGAAGGGAGCUUGCUCCUGGAUUCAGCGGCGGACGGGUGAGUAAUGCCUAGGAAUCUGCCUGGUAGUGGGGGAUAACGUCCGGAAACGGGCGCUAAUACCGCAUACGUCCUGAGGGAGAAAGUGGGGGAUCCUCGGACCUCACGCUAUCAGAUGAGCCUAGGUCGGAUUAGCUAGUUGGUGGGGUAAAGGCCUACCAAGGCGACGAUCCGUAACUAGUCUGAGAGGAUGAUCAGUCACACUGGAACUGAGACACGGUCCAGACUCCUACGGGAGGCAGCAGUGGGGAAUAUUGGACAAUGGGCGAAAGCCUGAUCCAGCCAUGCCGCGUGUGUGAAGAAGGUCUUCGGAUUGUAAAGCACUUUAAGUUGGGAGGAAGGGCAGUAAGUUAAUACCUUGCUGUUUUGACGUUACCAACAGAAUAAGCACCGGCUAACUUCGUG